AACGCGAAGAACCUUACCAGGAUUUGACAUGGGCAUGUCGCAAGCAGAGAUGUUUGUUCCCGCAAGGGCAUGCCGCACAGGUGCUGCAUGGCUGUCGUCAGCUCGUGUCGUGAGAUGUUGGGUUAAGUCCCGCAACGAGCGCAACCCUCGCCUUUAGUUGCCAUCAUGUUUGGGUGGGCACUCUAAAGGAACUGCCGGUGACAAGCCGGAGGAAGGUGGGGAUGACGUCAAGUCCUCAUGGCCCUUAUGUCCUGGGCUCCACGUGCUCAAUGGCGGUGACAGAGGGAAGCCAGGUCGCGAGGCCGAGCCGAUCCCAAAAAGCCGUCUCAGUUCGGAUUGCACUCUGCAACUCGAGUGCAUGAAGGUGGAAUCGCUAGUAAUCGCGAUCAGCAUGACG
RNAcentral lists this ribosomal RNA (397 nucleotides) under uncultured Gluconacetobacter sp. RNAcentral describes it as "bacterial SSU rRNA". It matches the Rfam family "Bacterial small subunit ribosomal RNA", at positions 958 to 1359 of the family's 1533-position model. Lineage: Bacteria; Pseudomonadati; Pseudomonadota; Alphaproteobacteria; Acetobacterales; Acetobacteraceae. The record is from RNAcentral.